GGGUAAAAGCAGGAGGUAAAGAAAUAGUCAAAUCAUCUACUGCCUGAGAGCACCGGGGAGAGACAAUGAUCGGAAAAUAAAUCCAGGCCUUUGUGCCAGCAGGGGCAACCCCCUCUGGGUCCCCUCCCAUUGUAUGUGAGCUCUGUUUUCAUUCUAUUAAAUCUUGCAACUGCACAUUCUUCUGGUCCGUGUUUCUGCCGGCUCAAACUGAGCUUUCGCUCUCCAUCCACCAUGGCUGAACGCCACAGUCGCAGACCUGCCGUUGACUUUCAUCCCUCUGGAUUUGGCAGGGUGUCCACUGAGCUUCUGAUUCAGCGAGGUGCUCAUUGCUGCUCCCAAUCAGGCUAGAGGCUCGCCAUUGUUCCUGCACCGGGAAGUGCCCGGGUUCAUCCUAAUUAGGCUGAACACUAGUCUCUGGGUUCCAUGGUUCUCUUCCGUGACCCACAGCUUCUAAUAGAGCUAUAACACUUACCGCAUGGCCCAAGGUUCCAUUCCUUGGAAUCCCUGAGGCCAAGAACCCCACGUCAGAGAACAAAAGGCUUGCUGCCAUCUUGGGAGCAGCCGGCCCCAUCUUGGGAGUGGCCCACCACCAUCUUGGGAGCUCUAAGAACAAAGACCUGCUGGUAACACUAUCUCUGGCCACCUAUCUCUGGCCUAUCUAUCUCUGGUUCCUAUCUCUGGCCAUGGCUUGAGCCAUUUGGGUGCAGUGAACAGGAAACUGUAAAGAGUGACAGCCCUGCUUCUACAAAAUGGAUGCCAAGGUUACACCUCCUCCCUCCUUAAAUAGCACUUAGUGUAAUUGAUGCCAAGUUAAUCCCUGUGCUGCCAAGAGAAGUGUCCAUGGGGUAGGAACCGCAUGCUGUUUUACCUGUGCUUAAAGAGGAAAGUGUCACGCGUCUCUGAAGAAACAAUGUUGACUGAAAAAUAGCGCCAAGUCUCAAACAAGAUCUUUGUGAAAAAUAAAGCAUGAAGCACAAAAUGAGAGAAUGACUAAAACUGAGGCUUAGUUAUGCAAGUUGUCUCCAGUCACACAACUGAAGACUUUUUUAAAUAGCCAGAAGUGGUGAAUUUGACAGUAAAGGACAAGAAGAGAAAGUUCUCAGACCUGAACAGGAAAAAAUGGUGCCUGGACACUACAAACAAUCUUCAUGUGCACUGAUCGGACAAUAAGUGAAUGGGUAAAUUUCUUUUCUCUAUCCCAUAUUCUGAAUCUUCAUCAUUAAAUCACUGUAACUUUUGUAAUAUAAUAUUUAGUAAAAUUGUGUAUGCAGACAAGGACCCAACACACCCUAGAAAAGGCCCUGCAUUAGGGAACUGGGCUAUGGAAAGCAUUAUGUAUCUGUUUCUGCACUGUGUGGCUAUAUAAACUCUGACAAGAUUUUGUGACAUUGGCUCAAUACAUAAGGAACUUAAAUCUAAUGGCAGAUGAGUACAUGCUCUUUCUGUCAAUCCACAGACCACCUGAAAUGUUGCAUAAACUAGCGUCUCUUUUUAUUUAAUCAAUUUUAUUUUUUAGUGGUUUUAAGUUCACAGAAAAGUUCAGUGGAAAGUACAAAUAAUUCCCACAUAUUCCCUGCCCCCAUGCCACAACCUCCACAACUAUGAACAUACUUGCACCACAGUGGCACAUUUGUUACCAGUGAUGCACCUUCUCACACAUCAUCACCUAAAGUUUAUAGUUUACAUUAGAGUUCACUCUUGGUGUUGUAACAAACGGAUUUUAACAAAUGGAUCAUGACACGAUCUACUCUUGUAGUAUCACACAGAAUAAUUUAACUGGCCUGAAAAUCUCCUGUGUUCCACCAUCCUCCCUAGCCACCCAACCUAUAGCAAUAAUUUAUCUUUUUCCAGUCUCUAUUGUUUUGCCUUUUCCACAGUAUCAUAUAGUGGAAAUCAUUCAGUAUGUAGCUUUUUCAGAUCUUUCACUCUGUAAUAUGCAUUUAACGUUACCCCAUGUCUUUUCAUGACUUGAUGGUUUAUUCCUUUUUAGCACUAAAUAAUAUUCCAUUGUCUGAAUAUAUUAGUUCAUUUAUUCAUUUGCAUAUUGGUUACUUCCAAGUUUUGGAAAUUAUGAAUUGAGCUGCUAUAAACAUUCAUGUGCAAGUUUUGUAUGAACAUAAGUUUUCACAUCAUAUGGGUAAAUAUUAAGGAGUGUGAUUUGCUAGGUUAUACGGUAAGAGUAUGCUUAAUUGUUGUUUUUAUGUAAAGAUGGAGUCUUGCUCUGUCACCCAGGCUGGAGAGUAGUGGUACAAUCAUGGUUCACUGCAGUCUCAAACGCCUGAGUUCAAGCGAUCCUCCUCCCUCAGCCUCCCAAGUAGCUGGGACUACAGGCACACACCACCAUGCCUGGCUAAUUUUUUCAAUUUAUUUUUUGUAGAGACAGGGUAUUGCUAUAUUUCCCAGGCUCGUCUCAAAUUCCUGGUGUCAAAUGAUCCUCCCACAGUGUUGGGAUUACAGGUGUGAGGUAUAUGCUUAGUUUUUUAAGAAACUGCCAAACUGUCUCCCAAAGCAUCUAUACCAUUUUGUAUUCCCACCAGUAAUGAAUGAGAGUCUCAGCUGCUCCAUGUCCUCAACAGGAUUUGGUAUUUCUUUAAAAAAGUAAUUAACAAAAUAUCUGUAUUUGAAAAGUGUCUUAAAUAAUACUGUACAUAUGUUUGGUGACUAAUAUAUAUGUACUGAAUAAAACUAUAAUACUCUAACUGAUGGAUACACAGCAUAUAUUAUUCUUGUAUCUUUUCCUAGAAAGCCUUGGGCUACUCUAAAUCUGUAAUACGUAUUUCAACUUCUCUACUUACAUGUACUAUAUUAUAGCAAUUUCUAUUGAGUUAUAAUCCAUAUUCACUCUCCUGAUUUGCUAAAGUCACAGAGGCUUUCAUCCCUAGUUUCUAAAGUGCUAAUACUAGUUUUUUCAGGCUUGUUUUUAACUUUUAUUUUAAGUUCAGGGGUACAUAUGCAGGUUUGUUACAUAGGUUAAUUGUGUAUCAUGGGGAUCUAAUGUACAGAUUAUUUCAUCACCCAGGUAAUAGGCAUAGUAUCCAAUAGGUAGGAGUUGAUUUUUUGUAUAACGUGUAAGGAAGAGGUCCAGUUUCGAUUUUCUGUAUAUGGCUAGCCAUUUACCCUAGCAUCAUUUAUUGAAUACAGAGUCCUUUCCUCAUUGCUUGUUUUUUGUUGACUUUGUCAAAGAUCAGAUGAUGUUAGCUGUACAGCUUUAUUUUUGGGCUCUCCAUUCUGUCGUAUUGGUCUAUUAUCUGUUUUUGUACCAGUACUAUGCUGUUUUGGUUACUGUAGCCUUGUAAUAACAGUUUGAAGUUGGGUUAACAUGAUGCCUCUAGCUUUGUUCUUUUUGUUUAUGAUUGCCUUGGCUAUUCAAACUCUUUUUUGGUUCCAUAUGAAUUUUAAAAUAGUUUUUCCUAAUUCUAAUUCCUUCCCAAUUCAAGCAGUUUCCCAGCUUCCCUGUCACAUCCUUGGGUAAUUUCCCACUGCCACUCACCGCAUACUAGACAUAAUUAAAUAUUUUAAUGUGCACUCACUGUUUUUUUUAUGGAGUACAGAGUAUA
RNAcentral lists this long non-coding RNA (3557 nucleotides) under Homo sapiens (human). RNAcentral describes it as "HSALNT0058640". The record is from RNAcentral. Lineage: Eukaryota; Metazoa; Chordata; Mammalia; Primates; Hominidae.